RNAcentral lists this ribosomal RNA (491 nucleotides) under uncultured bacterium. RNAcentral describes it as "bacterial SSU rRNA". It matches the Rfam family "Bacterial small subunit ribosomal RNA", at positions 8 to 507 of the family's 1533-position model. The record is from RNAcentral.
AGAGUUUGAUCAUGGCUCAGAUUGAACGCUGGCGGCAGGCCUAACACAUGCAAGUCGAGCGGAGGUAGCAAUACCUUAGCGGCGGACGGGUGAGGAAUGCAUCGGAACGUGCCGAGUAGUGGGGGAUAACGCAGGGAAACUUGCGCUAAUACCGCAUACGCCCCGAGGGGGAAAGUGGGGGGACCGCAAGGCCUCACGCUAUUUGAGCGGCCGAUGCCCGAUUAGCUAGUUGGUAAGGUAAUGGCUUACCAAGGCUACGAUGUUAGGGGGAUCUGAGAGGAUGGCCCCCCCACACUGGUACUGAGACACGGACCAGACUCCUACGGGAGGCAGCAGUAAGGAAUAUUGGUCAAUGGGCGGAAGCCUGAACCAGCCAUGCCGCGUGCAGGAAGACGGCCCUAUGGGUUGUAAACUGCUUUUGUACCGGAAUAAACCCUUCUACGUGUAGGAGGCUGAAUGUACGGUAAGAAUAAGGAUCGGCUAACUCCGUG